This 1283-nucleotide unclassified non-coding RNA is filed under the name Hevea brasiliensis (rubber tree). Lineage: Eukaryota; Viridiplantae; Streptophyta; Magnoliopsida; Malpighiales; Euphorbiaceae. The record is from RNAcentral.
GGAACAUCCAGUAAUGGUGAGCUUCAUUGAUUUACGAGGCAAACCAUGGCACUACUUCUAUACACAACUCUUCUUCUUAUUCUGUUUCGAUACCCCUGCAAUGGUGCUGACCCUUUAGGGGAUUUAUGCAAUACAGACACCAAAACUAGCGACAACACCAAGAUAUCAAACAAUAUUGAUCACUUGCUGGCUGAACUAGUUUCUAGAGCUCCCUCACCUGGUUAUAUUGCGACCUCCUAUGGUGAAGGCCAAGAUAAAGUGUAUGGCCUAGCACAAUGCAGGGGUGAUGUUAGCACCAACGACUGCUCCGGUUGCCUUCAGGACGCAGCAAAGGAAAUCCGCCAACGCUGUCCGGACCAAGUUGAUGCAAGAAUUUGGUAUGAUUAUUGCUUUUUGAGGUAUAACGAUGAGAAUUUCAUUGGAAAACUUGACACUUCUUAUGCUAUUUUUUACUUCAAUGUUGAGAAUGUAACAGAUCCUGAAGAUUUUAACAAAAAGCUUGGAUCUUUGAUAGAUAAGAUCAGAUCACAAGCUGUUAUGCCUAAGAAUGAAGGGCUUGGCAAAGGUGAGAGCAAUUUGUCAUCUUUCCUUACAGUUUAUGCUUUAGUGCAAUGCACGAGGGACCUUGCUGUGAUAGAUUGUGCUCAGUGUUUAGCCAUUGCAGUUGGUAAUUUCCCUAACUUCUGCAACAAUAAGAAGGGGUGCAGGGCUCUGUAUAGCAACUGUUAUGUUCGAUAUGAGCUCUACCCUUUUUUCUUUCCCCUUGAUUCAAGCAAUUCCUCAUCACUAAUUGGUAAUUUAGUUGUAAAAGUAUAUCCAUAAAUUUUCUAAUACCAGCCUAGCCUGUUGUGCCAGAAAUAAUAUUCCAUCUGUAAGGGAAAAUAAAAAGGAAGGAAUGAAUUUUCAGAGGAUUUUCGCUAUAUCUGUCAAGAACCUUUUGUUUGUAUAUUUUGCAAUCUGCAGUCUUUCAAAAGCAGAAUGGAUUCAUGAAAAAAAUGAUUUCAGUGCACACAAAUUUUCAGCGAAAGAGCAGUUGCCAUUCCUCAUCAUGUCGAUGAUGUAUGAAUACAAUACAGCAAUAUGCUUUCUGACAUGGCUGUCAUUAUUGUACAAUCUAGUGGCUAUCCAUAGGCGUGGAGCUGAAACCCACUAGAUAAAACUGGCAAAUGAGCUUAUACUUGUGUAAUGAUGUCAAAUAGAUAGAACAUGGAAUGCAAAUCAGCCUUUAUCUUAGAUAUAUGGUUGAUAAAUGAAAUUGGAUCAGUGUUUUAAUAGCAAUUCCU